Molecule: long non-coding RNA, 673 nt
Organism: Panicum virgatum (switchgrass)
Lineage: Eukaryota; Viridiplantae; Streptophyta; Magnoliopsida; Poales; Poaceae
Exons: 2
Source: RefSeq, a predicted model, not a curated record
GUAGAGCCCAUUCGUCUGGGCGCACGCGCACACUGACACGCCGCCCCGGGAAUCGGUCGGCAGGCGGCGGAGACAACAGAACUCAGGUCGGAGCGAGCGGCUUCGCCGGCGGCGGCGGCGGCGACCACAGGAUGGGGCUGGGAGGCCGGGGCGUCGUGGGAGAGAGGUGGUCGCAGCGCAUCCUGUGGAUCUGCGCCCUGGGCAGCGCCGUGAGCCUCUACUUCGUCGCGGUGGAGAGGCAGGCGCAGAACCGCGCGCGGGCGGUGGCAGAGGGCCUCAAGGCCCUCGACGGCGGUGGCGGCGGCGCUGGGGUGGACGUGUGAGGCGCUGCUUGGAGGCAGGCGUACCGUGGAGAGUUCCUCUCUUGGUAGGAUCAUGAGACGGGUCACUUUUGCUUUUCUGCUUCAUGUUCACUAAACUACAGUAGCUUCCGAAUAAUGUACUGUGCACAAUCUUUGUAGAAAGAAAAAAGUUGGUUAAUGUCAGUGUUUUCAUAAUUUACACAAUUUAUCUGAGCCACUGUUGCCGUGCAGAAAUGUUGAAUGAUGCGAGUGUUUUCCUAUUUCACACCAGUUAUUCCUGUAAGGGUUCUUAAGGUGUAUUUCUAUGGGACUAUGACUGUUGAAGCGAAUGGGGUAUAUGUAAUCAAGGCAGAAAGCUCUCGUUUAGACAA